GAUGAAUGCUAGCAGUGCGCCUGAGAUAUGCAAGUCGAGCGUUGCCUUGAGAGAGCUUGCUCUUUUCGAGGAAGCGGCGGACGGCUGAGUAACACGUAGGUACUUACCCCUAGGUAAGGAAUAGCUCAUCGAAAGAUGGGGUAAUGCCUUAUGGUUCCACCUUUUUGGUGGAUAAAGUCUUCGGACGCCAAGGGAGAGACCUGCGGCCUAUCAGGUAGUUGGUGAGAUAAAAGCUUCACCAAGCCUAUGACGGGUAGCUGGCCUCAUGAGGGUGGUCAGCCAGAGGGGGACUGAGACACGGCCCCCACUCCUACGGGAGGCAGCAAUCAGGAAUCGUCGGCAAUGGGGGAAACCCUGACCGCGCGACACUGCGUGUAGGAUGAAGUUCGAAAGAGCGUAAACUACUGUGGUAGAGGAAGAAGAUCUGACGUAAGUCAGGUUUGACGGUACUCUACUAGAAAGGGGCCGCUAACUGCGUGCCAGAAGCGUCGGUAAUACGUGGGCCCCAAGCAUUAUCCGGUUUAAUUGGGCGUAAAGGGUCGUGUAGGUGGAUUUGUAAGUUAUCUUUAAAAUUCAGAGGCUCAACCUCUGGUCUGGGGGUAAGACUACAUAUCUAGAUUUUCUUUUAGGGUAAGCGGAACUGAGUGAGGAGUAGUGAAAUGCGUUGAUACACUCGGGAACACCAGUGGCGAAGGCGGCUUACUGGAAGGAAAAUGACACUGAGACACGAAAGCUAGGGUAGCGAAGCAGAUUAGAGACCUGCGUAGUCCUAGCCCUAAACGAAUGUUCGCUAGCUGCAUUGGCCUGCCUUCGGGCAGAACAGUGUGGCGUAGGUAACCCGUUAAGCGAACCGCCUGGGGAGUACGGCCGCAAGGCUAAAACUCAAAGGAAUUGGCGGGGAGGCACACAACCAGUGGAACAUGUGGCUUAAUUCGAGACAAACCGAAGAACCUCACCAGGGUUUGACAUGCAACUGCACGUCCUAUGAAAGUAGGAUUCCUUAGAGGGUGUUGCACAGGUGCUGCAUGGCUGUCGUCAGUUCGUUCCGUGAGGAGUGCCCUUAAGUGGGACAACGAACGCAACCCCCAUCGUAUGUUAUAAGUGUCAUACGAAACUGCCCAAGUCUGACUUGGGAGGAAGGAGGGGCAGAUGUCAAGUCAGCAUGGUCCUUAUACCCUGGGCUGCACACAUGUUACAAUGGGAAGGACAAUGGGUCUUGCAAACUCGCGAGAGUAAGCGAAUCCCACAAACCUUCUCUCAGUUGGGAUUGAAGUCUGCAAUUCGACUUCAUGAACUCGGAAUUGGUAGUAAUCGUGGAUCAGCUACGCCACGGUGAAUACGUUCUUGCCUCUUGCACACACCGCCCGUCAAGCCAACAAAGUCGGUUAUAUUUGAACCUCGUGAUUACACGGGGGAGAGUAUGAUCGGCGAUGAGGGUU
This 1439-nucleotide ribosomal RNA is filed under the name uncultured bacterium. Its description in RNAcentral is "bacterial SSU rRNA". It matches the Rfam family "Bacterial small subunit ribosomal RNA". The record is from RNAcentral.